UGAGGAAUAUUGGUCAAUGGGCGGAAGCCUGAACCAGCCAUGCCGCGUGAAGGAAUAAGGCCCUAUGGGUCGUAAACUUCUUUUGUGGUGGAGCAAUAAGGAUCACGAGUGGUCCGAUGAGAUUACAUCACGAAUAAGCAUCGGCUAACUCCGUGCCAGCAGCCGCGGUAAUACGGAGGAUGCAAGCGUUAUCCGGAUUUAUUGGGUUUAAAGGGUGCGUGGGCUGUUUGACAAGUCAGCGGUGAAAGCCCGGCGCUUAACGCCGGAACUGCCAUUGAUACUGUUGAGCUGGAAUGUUGGAGAAGGAAGUGG
RNAcentral lists this ribosomal RNA (312 nucleotides) under uncultured bacterium. RNAcentral's name for it is "bacterial SSU rRNA". It matches the Rfam family "Bacterial small subunit ribosomal RNA", at positions 355 to 664 of the family's 1533-position model. The record is from RNAcentral.